Pseudopodoces humilis (Tibetan ground-tit) is the source of this 1999-nucleotide non-coding RNA. Lineage: Eukaryota; Metazoa; Chordata; Aves; Passeriformes; Paridae. The record is from RefSeq and is a predicted model, not a curated record.
GGCUCUCGCUCGGCGCGGCCAUGGAGGCGGACGGGAGCCAGGCUACCUCGGGGAGCCCCGGAGAGGCGCAGCACGACCCCGGCAAGAUGUUCAUCGGCGGCCUCAGCUGGCAAACCUCACCAGACAGCCUUAGAGACUAUUUUAGCAAAUUCGGAGAAAUUAGGGAGUGUAUGGUCAUGCGGGACCCCACCACCAAGCGCUCCAGAGGCUUCGGGUUCGUUACGUUCGCGGAUCCGGCGAGUGUAGACAAAGUCCUGGCUCAGCCGCACCACGAGCUGGACUCCAAGACGAUUGACCCUAAAGUUGCGUUUCCCCGGCGAGCACAGCCCAAGAUGGUCACAAGAACAAAGAAAAUAUUUGUAGGUGGAUUAUCGGCUAACACAGUAGUGGAAGACGUGAAGCAAUACUUUGAACAGUUUGGCAAGGUAGAGGAUGCCAUGCUAAUGUUUGACAAGACGACCAACAGGCAUAGAGGAUUUGGCUUCGUAACUUUUGAAAAUGAAGACGUGGUGGAAAAAGUCUGUGAAAUUCAUUUCCACGAAAUCAAUAAUAAAAUGGUAGAAUGUAAGAAAGCACAACCUAAAGAAGUGAUGUUUCCACCAGGGACGAGAGGAAGGGCACGUGGAUUGCCGUACACCAUGGACGCUUUUAUGCUAGGGAUGGGAAUGUUGGGUUACCCGAAUUUUGUUGCAACAUAUGGCCGAGGAUAUCCUGGAUUUGCCCCAAGUUACAGUUAUCAGUUCCCAGGUUUCCCAGCAGCGGCUUAUGGACCAGUAGCAGCGGCAGCCGUGGCAGCAGCAAGAGGAUCAGGUUUUGUUUUACGUGCAAACAGACCUGAGGGUGUCUCUGAGGCAAACUUUCCGGCCUCUCUUACACUCGGACGUGCACACCUCCUCUCAAACACUCUUCUGAGCGCUCUCAGCGGGAAGUCUUGAAUAGCUACAGUGCUCAACCGAAUUUUGGCGCACCCGCUUCCCCGGCAGGCUCCAACCCAGCGCGGCCCGGAGGCUUCCCCGGGGCCAACAGCCCCGGGCCCGUCGCGGAUCUCUACGGCACGGCCAGCCAGGACUCCGGCGUGGGUAACUACAUAAGCGCCGCCAGCCCGCAGCCGGGCUCCGGCUUCGGACACGGCAUCGCUGGACCUUUGAUUGCAACGGCUUUUACAAAUGGAUACCAUUGAAACGUUACACAUGGUUGGUUGCCAUCUCACUUGGAGAGUCUCUCUGGAUGUCCGGGCAAGACAGGGCGAAGUUUCUGAAGGGCCCCACGUUGGGUGAUCUCAUCAGACUUUGAGCACUACAUCAUCAUCAUCAUCAUCAUCAUCAUCAUCACCGCCAACGCAAACUGGAGGUGGCACUCGAAGGACUUGGGUUGUUUAAAAUCUCUCUCAUCAUCUCAUGAAUCUGCUGUACUAUAAAAACAACAGCUUUUAAAAGUAUGUAUAUAAAACCCAUUUCUUGUUCGUUUUAUUUUCUCGAUGGGUCCCUCCUCCCCUCUUUUUAAGCCUCUCCAAACCCACAUCUUUUCGUAGCCUUUUUGACAUAGUCUCGUAGCCACGUAGUCAGAAUUCUUUGUGUAUGUAGCGAGAGCCUAACCAUAGUGUAACUGUUAUAUUAAGGGGUUUCUUUUGCUUUUCUUUCCCACCUCCCCUCCUCCUCCUCCUCCUCCCUUCUGUUUUACGUAGUUGUUGUUGCUUAAAGGAUGCUGAGAUGGUGACAGGAGCCUGGGCCACGGGGGGAGCGGAGCCAGCGGCGGGUGCGGCACGGGGGGCUGGCAGGGCACGGGGAGGGGGGAGCAACAGGUUCUCUGGCCCUUCUUUUCCUUUGUGGCGUCUUGGUUACUCUAAUUCUCUCUAUUUUCGGCAAUAAGGCGAGGGCGACAAACUUUUUGCGCGUCCUUUUUCUAUAUAAGUGCUUUUUUUUGUUGAAAGAGGUGAUAUAAGGUUUUUUGAAAUUGUGAAUUCUGAAAAAAAAAAAAAGAAAAAAAUAAUAAAAUGCUG